Zingiber officinale is the source of this 325-nucleotide long non-coding RNA. RefSeq lists it as uncharacterized. The record is from RefSeq and is a predicted model, not a curated record. Lineage: Eukaryota; Viridiplantae; Streptophyta; Magnoliopsida; Zingiberales; Zingiberaceae. The transcript is spliced from 2 exons.
CUCAAGCAUGUUGUGCAAAUUGAUUCUCUGUUCCUCUGAACAUUGUUUUAUCAGUAUAUUGCAAUAUCUGCUAAUACCUUUGCCUUAAUACUGCAUCAUAUCUUCUGUAUUCUCAGCAUUACCCUCAUGAUUCACAUUACAGAUCAUCCUUGGCUGCAGAAUGCCAAUAAGGCACCCAAUGUAAAUCUUGGUGAAACUGUUCGAGCAAGACUCCAGCAAUUUUCAGUGAUGAAUAAAUUUAAAAAGAAAGCUCUUAGGGUGAUAGCUGAACAUUUGUCUGUGGAGGAGAUUGCCGACAUAAAGGAAAUGUUUGAGAAUAUGAAUA